Molecule: ribosomal RNA, 862 nt
Filed under: uncultured bacterium
Lineage: Bacteria
Description: bacterial SSU rRNA
Rfam family: Bacterial small subunit ribosomal RNA
Source: RNAcentral
GGCUCAGGAUGAACGCGGGCGGCGUGCUUAACACAUGCAAGUCGAACGAGAACCCUGAGGGUAACUUUGGGGGGACAGUGGCGAAUGGGUGCGUAACACGUAGGUGACCUGCCCUCGAGCGGGGGAUAACGGUCCGAAAGGAUCGCUAAUACCGUAUGCGGUUAUGGGAUCAAAGCCAUAACGAAACUCACGGGGCUCGGGGAGGGGCCUGCGGCCCAUCAGCUAGUUGGUAGGGUAACGGCCUACCAAGGCAACGACGGGUAGGGGCCUGAGAGGGUGACCCCCCACACUGGCACUGACACACGGGCCAGACUCCCACGGGAGGCAGCAGUGAGGAAUAUUGCGCAAUGGGCGAAAGCCUGACGCAGCAACGCCGCGUGGGCGAUGAAGGCCUUCGGGUCGUAAAGCUCUUUUCCCAGGGAAGAGAAGGGACGGUACCUGGGGAAUCAGUCACGGCUAACUACGUGCCAGCAGCCGCGGUAAAACGUAGGUGGCAAGCGUUAUCCGGAUUCACUGGGCGUAAAGCGCACGCAGGCGGCUCGGUAGGUAGGGCAUUAAAUCUCCUGGCUUAACUGGGAGGGGCUGUCCUAUACCGCCGGGCUUGAGGAUAGGAGAGGGAAGUGGAAUUGCCGGUGUAGUGGUGAAAUGCGUAGAGAUCGGCAGGAACACCAGUGGCGAAGGCGGCUUCCUGGCCUAUUCCUAACGCUCAUGUGCGAAAGCUAGGGGAGUGAACGGGAUUAGAAACCCCGGUAAUCCUAGCCGUAAACGAUGCAUACUAGGUGUCGGUGGUAUUGACCCCAUCGGUGCCGAAGCCAACGCGUUAAGUAUGCCGCCUGGGGACUACGGCCGCAAGGUUAAAACU